RNAcentral lists this ribosomal RNA (199 nucleotides) under uncultured bacterium. Its description in RNAcentral is "partial 16S ribosomal RNA". It matches the Rfam family "Bacterial small subunit ribosomal RNA", at positions 328 to 539 of the family's 1533-position model. The record is from RNAcentral.
ACGCUCGACACCUACGGGGAGGCAGCAGUGGGGAAUAUUGCACAAUGGGGGAAACCCUGAUGCAGCGACGCCGCGUGAAGGAAGAAGUAUCUCGGUAUGUAAACUUCUAUCAGCAGGGAAGAAAAUGACGGUACCUGACUAAGAAGCCCCGGCUAACUACGUGCAAGCAGCCGCGGUAAUCUGAGCGGGCUGGCAAGGC